Molecule: unclassified non-coding RNA, 377 nt
Filed under: Hevea brasiliensis (rubber tree)
Lineage: Eukaryota; Viridiplantae; Streptophyta; Magnoliopsida; Malpighiales; Euphorbiaceae
Source: RNAcentral
GAGAGAGAGAGAGAGAGAGCGAGGAUAAUGCGGAAAAAAUUCAAAAGUUAGAGGUCCCUAAUUGAAGAAUAGUGGAGAGACAAGACUAGUUGGAGGGACAAUGGAAACCCUAUUUGUUGUAUUCUUCUCUUUUCUUUUCUUUUCUAUUUUCCCCCUUUUUUUUUUGGGUAGAAUUCUCUUGCUCCUUUGAUGUUAUUUUCAAUUGAAAACAUCAAAACACCUAUACCCCUUGUUUGGAUUCAAUUGAGUUCUUUUUGGCUAAUUCUCAUAUUUGGGAUGAAAUAAUUCAAUUCUUUUUAACUUAACAAAAUUUUCAUUUUAGAAGGAAAUAGAAAUCAAGUAUGAUUUUGUGAGAAUUCAAUUUAAUUCUUUUCUUG